This 461-nucleotide ribosomal RNA is filed under the name uncultured bacterium. RNAcentral's name for it is "bacterial SSU rRNA". It matches the Rfam family "Bacterial small subunit ribosomal RNA", at positions 420 to 882 of the family's 1533-position model. The record is from RNAcentral.
GGGUUGUAAACUUCUUUUAUAAAGGAAUAAAGUCGGGUAUGCAUACCCGUUUGCAUGUACUUUAUGAAUAAGGAUCGGCUAACUCCGUGCCAGCAGCCGCGGUAAUACGGAGGAUCCGAGCGUUAUCCGGAUUUAUUGGGUUUAAAGGGAGCGUAGAUGGAUGUUUAAGUCAGUUGUGAAAGUUUGCGGCUCAACCGUAAAAUUGCAGUUGAUACUGGAUAUCUUGAGUGCAGUUGAGGCAGGCGGAAUUCGUGGUGUAGCGGUGAAAUGCUUAGAUAUCACGAAGAACUCCGAUUGCGAAGGCAGCCUGCUAAGCUGCAACUGACAUUGAGGCUCGAAAGUGUGGGUAUCAAACAGGAUUAGAUACCCUGGUAGUCCACACGGUAAACGAUGAAUACUCGCUGUUUGGCAUAUACAGCAAGCGGCCAAGCGAAAGCGUUAAGUAUUCCACCUGGGGAGUA